UGUGACUGUAUGACAGCAGUUCAUCUCACUGUGCUGAAAUCUGGUCAUGACAUGCAAUAUGGAAGAUUGCAACAUUUAUGAGAAUGUUGAAUUCCCAAAAGACGCUGAAAAGAAGCAGCAUGGAGAGAAAGAAGAUCAAACACCAUCAGGUGAAUGUCAGGAUGCUGACAGCAAUAUUGAUUAUGAAUGCUUUGAAUGGGAAGACACCUGUCAUACAGAACAACAGAACCAAAAACAACCACAGAGGGGUAGCCUAGAGCUGAAAUCCUCCAGAUCUACAGGUUCUGCUGGCUGUGAGACCAAAUACACUGUUCUUUGCCUUGUGCUGGCAACUGUCUUCGUCUUCUUCAUGUCUCUCCUCAUGGCAGUCUUCAUCAGCAACGCAGCCCUGAAAGAGGAGAUUAAAAACCUGAGAAGGACACAUUCCAUGUGGACAGAAAACAUUACAGAAGCCAUGAGGAAGCUCACAGAGGAACAGGACAGUUUGAGUACCCAAGAUGCUAACAUUUCUUCACAAAUUGCCCAGCUCAGAAUGCAAGAUGCUAGCAUCUUUGCAGAAAUAACCCAGCUUAAAUUGCAUGUAUAUGCUUUGAAGUCUUGUCCAUGUGAUUGGAAGAUGUUCAACGGGAAAUGUUACUACUUUUCCCAAGACACAAGAGACUGGAAUGGAGCUAAAUCUCACUGCAGUCAGCAGGGCUCUAAUCUUGCUGUUGUCAAGACUUCAAAAGAACUGAAGUUUUUAGGAAGUCAGAUCUCAUCAGAUCACUGGCUGGGGCUGAUCUAUCAACAAAGGACCUGGACAUGGCUGGAUGGCAGCUCUGUGGAGAGGAGCUUUUGGGAUUCUGGACGGCCAUCUUCCAAUCCUGGAUGUGGAAAGAUGACAAAUAAACUCAGUAAAAGCAACUGCGCCAGUGCCUACAGAUGGAUCUGUGAGAAGGCAGCCUUGGGAUCUCAGCUUUGUGUUUAAUUUCAGGAAACCAACUCAAAAUUCAGCAAUGUCACUAGGUGCCCAGAAUUAGGAGAGAGAAAUCAAUAUCUAGAAGACGAGACCCAGGACCACAAACAGAAAAAAAGAGAAGAAAAACCCUCCAAAUCUAAAGAUUCAGUUGUUUGCGGGACCAAAGCCAUUGUUCUUAACAUUCUAUUGGUGCCUGCCUCUAUCAUCUACACUGUGCUCGUCACAGUAGUCUUCAUGCAAAACUCAGCCCUGAAUGCAGAGAUUCAGCACUUGAAAAUGAUAUAUUCCUUAUGGGAGAUGAACGUUUUCAAGUUAUCAAAGAGCUCACAGAGGAACAGGAUGGUUUGAGGAGCCAAGACUUUGAGAUGUCUUUGGAAUUUAGUAACAUACAAUCUGAAGUUGCUCAGUUCCAACAGCAAGAUUCUCAGAUAUUGCCCAGGCUGAACAACAUAGAGUCAAAGCUUCAAACAGGAGCAUGUGAAGUUCUGUCCAUGUGACUGGAAGAUGUUCAACAGGAAAUGUUACUACUUUUCCCAAGACAUAAGAGACUGGAAUGGAGCUAAAUCUCACUGCAGUCAGCAGGGCUCUAAUCUUGCUGUUGUCAAGACUUCAGAAGAACUGACAUUCUUGAAAAAUUAUAUCUCUGGAGACACAUGGAUUGGACUGAGUACAGUGGAGCAUGGAGGGCAGUGGAAGUGGAUUAAUGGGAAUUUAGUAGAGGACAGAAGCUUGUGGCAAAAUGGACAACUACUGUAUAUAACACUGGUAGCAGUCAAUAUUGUGGGGAGAUCACAUCCUCUAAUCUGUAUGCUGACAGCUGUAGCACAAAGCAGCGCUGGAUCUGUGAGAAGUCAACAUAAAAAUCCUCACUUUUGUUUUUUACUAAAUAGGCACCAAAUCAAUGUAUGACCAAAUCAAUGUACUGUAUGAACUCAGCAAUACAACUACUGAUGAAUCAACAGCAGGGACACCCCCAGUUUAGGUUUGCUCUGUACAGUAAUUCUGUGAAUUCUGUUUAUUAUCCUCCUUUGCUUAAACUACUCAGCCUUGAAAGUGAUACUUCUUUUUAAAGAAAUGGGAGGAUGAGAACCUUAGAUCAAUUUUCUACCUGAUCGCCUCUCACCCUUGUAUAGUUGAUUCAUGUAAAGAUGAAACAUGCUAAAUGUGCCAUAUGCCCUCCUCUAGUUUGUAACAAUUCUUAUCUUACCAGAAAUAUUUUCAAGACAGUGUGGGGGACAUUCAGUUAUAAACCAGGGAUCACAGGUCAAAAUGGUGACCUAACUGUAUAUCUGACUAUCUGGCCCUCAGCUUGGGCUUAAAUCUUCACUCAUGAUUGAGUCUAACUGUGAAAGGUCUAAACUUCAAGAUGAUCUUAUAGGUUUCUUGAGCCUAAUCCUGUAGUUGUAGCACAGAUAUAGUUUUAAUUGACAGUUAUGACAGAUGGGAACUGUUAAGCACUUCUGAACCUGUAUAAGUAAUAUUUACAGUAUGUGUGUACAGGUGUUUGUGAUACUAGUGUUUAUGUUUGUCAUAUACUUAUAGUAGGUGAUUUGUAAUAUAUUUAUUACUUUCGUUUUUUUUUUCUGUAACUGGUCUAAUGUGGUUUUUAAAACUUUCUUACAUGUGUUUUAACAUGUAUUUCAAGAUGCACAGACGUGAUUCCAAAUUUUAAAAAAUGAAUGUGUACUGCUUCAUCAGUACUGUACUUCGUUUCUAAUUUCGUAGUACUUGUACAGUGUAUAGUAAUAAUGACAAAACCUGUCUACAAAUUAAAGAAAACGUAUAGACGUUCCAAUGAAAAUAAUAUGAACAAAGUUGUAUUUUUCUUCAAUUUUUUUCUGGAGUGUAUUACAGUUGAAAUAAAUAUCCAUCGAU
Molecule: RNA transcript, 2833 nt
Organism: Lepisosteus oculatus (spotted gar)
Lineage: Eukaryota; Metazoa; Chordata; Actinopteri; Semionotiformes; Lepisosteidae
Gene name: CD209 antigen-like
Source: RefSeq, a predicted model, not a curated record